GGGCUUAGCUCAAUGGUAGAGCACCUGCUUUCUGUGCAGAAGGUCCAAGGUUCAAUUUCCCAGCAUCUCCA
Molecule: non-coding RNA, 71 nt
Organism: Podarcis lilfordi (Lilford's wall lizard)
Lineage: Eukaryota; Metazoa; Chordata; Lepidosauria; Squamata; Lacertidae
Source: the annotation of a GenBank genome assembly